This is a non-coding RNA of Callorhinus ursinus (northern fur seal), 78 nucleotides long. The record is from RefSeq and is a predicted model, not a curated record. NCBI's taxonomy places the organism in Eukaryota, Metazoa, Chordata, Mammalia, Carnivora, Otariidae.
CGUCGCUCGCCAACGCCAGCGCCGCCUCUAGCUCGCCGAGCUCCAGCCCAAGGAGAAGAGGGGGAUCGGAAGAGGGUC